This 409-nucleotide ribosomal RNA is filed under the name uncultured bacterium. RNAcentral's name for it is "partial 16S ribosomal RNA". It matches the Rfam family "Bacterial small subunit ribosomal RNA", at positions 355 to 755 of the family's 1533-position model. The record is from RNAcentral.
UGGGGAAUAUUGGACAAUGGGCGAAAGCCUGAUCCAGCAAUGCCGCGUGUGUGAAGAAGGCCUUCGGGUUGUAAAGCACUUUAAAGUUGGGAAGAAAAAAGCUCUGGCUAAUAUCUAGAGCCUUGACGGUACCAACAGAAUAAGCACCGGCUAACUCUGUGCCAGCAGCCGCGGUAAUACAGAGGGUGCUAGCGUUAAUCGGAUUUACUGGGCGUAAAGCGUGCGUAGGCGGUUUGAUAAGUCGAUUGUGAAAGCCCCGGGCUUAACCUGGGAAUUGCAGUUGAUACUGUCAGACUAGAAAACGGUAGAGGGAGGCGGAACUCCAGGUGUAGCGGUGAAAUGCGUAGAUAUCUGGAAGAACACCGAUGGCGAAGGCAACCUCCUGGGCCUGUUUUGACGCUGAGGCACG